This is a long non-coding RNA of Saccostrea cuccullata (small rock oyster), 194 nucleotides long. RefSeq lists it as uncharacterized. The transcript is spliced from 3 exons. The record is from RefSeq and is a predicted model, not a curated record. Lineage: Eukaryota; Metazoa; Mollusca; Bivalvia; Ostreida; Ostreidae.
CCCGAAUUAUAAACAGAAAAGGUAAACAGCAAUACAUCCACACGAUGAAAGUCGCAGAAUAUAUCAUAGAAAACAAUUCACUAACCAUAACAGAUGAAGCAAAGCGAUGUUUCAUUGAGGAUGGAUGUAUUAUUGUAAGAGGUUUACUAAGUAAGGCAGAACUGCUAAAAGUGGAGAAAGCCGUCGAAAACCCA